CCGAGGGCUCCAAUUUCUCCCCAAUACUUGUCAAAAUAUGCCUGAGAUCCGAAACAACAACAUACCCAGUCCCAUCCUUGUCCAGCACCUUGAACGCAUCCCUUAGCUGGCGAUCAAACGGCUCAGGCUUCAAAUGCUUGGACAUCAGGUCCAAAAAUCUAUUAAAAUCGAAAGGAGAAUUCAAAUUUUCCUCGACGAUUAUGGAUUUGAGCUGCGCCUGAGUCGGGUUUCCUCCGAGUGAACGCAUCAGAAUUCCCAGCUCCGACGGGGCGAUCCUGCCGUCGCCGUCGGUAUCGAAAAGUGUGAAGGCUUCUUUCAUGGAGGAAACCUGGUCAUUGCUCAGAUCUUUCCCCAUUUUUUCAGGCCUUUUCUAUGACUUGUCUCUGUGUUGUUGCUGGCUUUGAAUCUGCGACUGUGAACGUUUGUUUGCGUAGAUUUUGCUGCAAGUGGAGGGGUUUGAGCGUAAUUAACUAAAGUUUAGGGGCAUCAAUUUCUAUUUUAUAAAGGGUAAUUAUGCCCUUGUUUCAUCCCCCGUUAUUUCUAAGGAAAAAGUCAGGGUAAUUAUGCAUCAAUGUUAUUUCUUAAGAAAAAGUCCCGAGUACAGAAAAUGUUGACAUAAUUCAUAUCGACGUUGAUAUGGCAGUGCAUGAUUGAGCUUUUUAAUCUCUCUCUAUGAUUCCACAUCAUGUGUUGUGUCUCAAAAUUUUCUAUCAAAAUUCCGUGCAUGAUUGUAUUUCUAAAAGAUAAUUAUAUUAUCAUCACAAAAUUUACUAUAAUUACACCACAAUUAAAAUUUAUUUUUAAUAAUUAUACCCAACAAAUUUACAAUUAUACUCUAAUCAAAUAAAAACUAAAAAUGAAAAAUCAGUACCAAGACUUGCAGGUCCCGAUGUAAACACUAUACAAGCUCCCCUCCUCCCCGGAGUAUCUUUUCUUGGAGGAAACCUGCACCCAACGCCAUUCAUGGGGAUAAAAUCUCACAUAUGACACUAGAAUAGGUUACUUUGAGUCCACGGACACUUUGAUGUUGAAAAUCAACAAGGUACUCAACGAUCAAGUCAUGUCGAUCACCAAAUUGAUGUGGGGUCAUCGAACUGCUCUUCGCAAGCCUUGAGAGGGGUAUGGUCACAUAUAGAGAUACGGAUGUUAUGAUCAACAUUGUGUUCACGAGACUUGGCAUGAGGGUGGUAUACAAGGCGAUAGUAGGGUUGGCAAUGCGCCGAGGCCCUUAAUGCCACGAGCUCAGCUUGGCUCGAGCUCGAUUCGUUGAAAUUGGGCGAGCUCGGCUCGGCUCACGAGCUCGUGGGCUGAGCCGAGCUUCGGCUCGUGGGCUCGCCUAAAUUUUUUAUUUAUUUAUAUAUAUAAAAAAUAAAGAAUAGAGUUUUAAAAAUAAAAAGUGUUAAAAAAUAAAAAUAAUUUAACGAAAACAAAUUUUUAUUUUUUUUAUUUAUAUCAUAUUGUAAUUUAUAAUAUUUUUUAUAAAGUAUAACCGUAUAAAAUAUUUAUAUAAUAAAAACGAAUUUUUUUUGAAAUACAUUUACAAAAAAUAUUUUUUUGAUUUCUUUUUAAAGUUAAUAAAGAAUAGGGUUUUGAAAAUAAAAAGUGUUAAAAAAUACAAAUAAUUUAACAAGAACAAGUUUUUAUUUUUUUUAUUUACAUCAUAUUGUAAUUUGUAAUACUUUUUAUAAAGUAUAAAAUAUUUAUAUAAUGAAAAAGAAUUAUUUUUUGAAAUACAUUUACAAAAAAUAUAUUUUUUUGAUUUCUUUUUAAAGUUAAUAAAAUAUAAACCCUCCUCCUUUAUCCGGGCUUGGGACCGGCUACAUCAAUUUUAAGUAGGCGGAGUUAAAAAUUGUACACGAACAACUUGUUGUAACGUGUACAAUUUUUAAAAAAAAUUAAAUUUAACGAUUAAAAAAUAAAUAAAUAAUUUGAUUAAUAUAAUUAAAUCAAAUAUCACUUACCUGACGACAUGCAAUUUCAGCGUAUUUAUCUUGUAGUCGAAAAUGAGCGUCCUGCCAAUCCUUCACACACAUUAACGCUUCCAAAACAUCUUCUUUCAGUCGGCUCCUGACAUCAGUCAAAACCCUUUUACCUGCACUAAAAGCAGACUCUGAAGCAACAGUGCUAACUGGAGGUGUCAAUAGAUCUUUCGCAAUUGCAGAAACAAUUGGCUAACGUCUUUCAUACUUUCGCCAGAAUUCAAUUACUUCUUCUGAAAUUUUUUUAAUUGUUCUGCCUGUUGGCAUAUUAUGAUUGAAAUAAUCAAUUAAUUCGGCAGGCAUCGCAUUUUGAGUUUCGGCCGAUGUUUGAUGAGAUGCAGAUGUAGACGACAUGACACUAGAUGUACACAUUGCAGUUGCAUCAAUAUAUAUAUAUAUAUUUCACCCAUUUUCAUUCCAAAAAAGGGGGCCAAAUGGGGUUUAUUCUUCUUUUCAUAAAAUUGUCAACAGUGUGGUGUAUCCAGAAAAAAUUGUUUAUGUUAAGAAUUUAUAUAAAACCGUGGAUAAUUAAGUAAUUCUAAUUAAGGUGAUUUAAGUAAAUAAAAAAAUUGAUUAAAGUUGUUGUGUAACAAGUAAAUUUUGUUGUAAUAAUAUCAUUACCCUUUCUAAAAUAUAUUUUUGUCUUUCUUAUUUUAAAUCACACACUAUUCAAUAAAAUAAUAUUAUACAUAAAUUCAAAACUUUUUUAUUUUAUUUUUUAGCCACACGUUCUUCAUCAAUCUAUUUCAAAAUUCAUUUUUCAAUAAACACGGGGACUCGAAUAGGCUCUAUAAUACCACCACAAAAUAAACUUAUUACACAACAAUGUUAUUGUAUACUUAAAUGAACUUAAAUAAAAUUACUUAAUUAACCAUUUAAGAAACUAUUUGGUGCCCAUUAUUUUAAGGAAAAAGAGUUUUAAAUAGUAUUUUCAAAGAGUGUAUAGCUAAAAAGUGGAAAAAAGUUUUGAUUCUGAAUGUAUAAUAUUUUAUUAUGUAAAUAUAUAGUUGAAAUCAUCCUGUAAUAUACGGUGCAAAUUCUUUAAAUGGUUCUCUUUACCCACAAUUCAUUAAAAACAUCUCUCUUUGAAAACCUUUUGAAUAACAAAACAAUAAUUCUUAGGCAAUUUAGAUUGUCGCGCACAAUUAGUAGAGGAGUCUCCAUUAAAAGCCCUAUUCAAAAUUGCAAGUUACAUAUCCAUAGACUAUAGUAGGUCUAAGUACACAAAAAUCGACACCGCACAGCUUUCUAGUAAGUGCCUGUACUUUUAGUUAAUGGUAUGUUGGAUAAUUUUCAUGCGAAAUCUGUUAGAAAAACACGAUUUUCCUAAAUUAAUAUUGACAACAUAUUAAUACAAUUAUAUUAGUUAUUUAAUAUAAUGGGCAAAAAUCAAGUGGCCUAUUUUUUGUAUGUCCAUAGACUACUCAAAUUAAUAUGGACUAAGUGAGUAGAUACCAGCUAAUAUUACUCUAAUUAAGGGAUAAUGGGAACCUUAAUUAAGUAGUAUAUAAAUGUUAUUUUGGUUAUGGUCCCCAAUAUACCAAAUCAUACACUCUUUUCCCUUCUCUCCAUCAAGAAGAGAAAUCACGGUCCCAUUGAGGAAUAAGGAGAUUUGGUUGAGGAAGAUCACAAAACCACCCUCUUCAUUUGCAUUCAUCGGUACGUAGUCGAUUGUCGCACAUAAUGUUUGCUCUAAAUUCUUAUAGGUGAUAGGUGUAUCAAGCAUUAAAGUUUUAUUGAUUUGAUCAAUUACGUAUUUAGUUCCCGAAAUAUUAUAUCGGGGGUCCAUUACGCAUGCUAAAGGAAAUAACAUACGUAGUCGAUUGUCGCAGUAAUUCCGCAACAGUAGGCAAUCGUUUACAAUGGAUACAAGUAUAUUAUUUGAAUCUGUGAAUCCUAGUAAUUUAGAAUGAUGUUAUUUAAACUUUAAUUCCAUAGCAAUUAAAAUUUCACUAAAAGUAGGAUCAUUUUUAUAUUUAUGGAAUAUUCUUGCAAUUAUAUAAAGACGUUCAAACACCAUACAACUUGUGGGAUAAUAAACGCCAGAUAAAAUCUUUGUAGUCUCAUAAAAAGAUGUCAAAAAUCGUUUAACUUUCAAAGCUAAAAUUUUAAGAUAUGAAUGAAAUAUAGAGCAGGGUGUAACGCACAGGCACCACCACAACCUUUUCAUUCACGAGAAAAGUUAGCUGCACUUGCAAGUUAGGCAAGUGCAACAUCUAAAUCGUGUGUUAUAACCUCGCUCAUGAGUACAUCAGUACAGUAAUCAUUACUCUUGCAUGUAAUCAUUAGUUGUCGCUUUGCAACAAUUAGGAGGAUAUUACAGUUCUGUACUCCUAAAUUAUCAAAUGCUGGUAUUCAUAUUAAUUACUUUUCCGAGUUCUCUGACUUCUGCUCAACUUAAGAACUUCAAUUCCACAAUCCCUCAAAUCUGCUAAUACCUAAUAUAAACGCACAAUUCAGCACACAACUACAAGAAAUUUUCACAAUCAUGCGUAACAAAUGAUUACCUAACACAGUCACAUUUCCCAGACCUUUGUAUUUGGUACCAUUUAACUAAAUUAUCAUGCAAAAAUGAAAAAUUGAAAAAAUUAAAAAACGGGAGCGAAAAACAAAACGUAAGAAAUUUGCGAUCCAUAAACUCACAUUGGCGGGAGAAAUUUCUUCUCACUUGGCAACCAUGCGGGCAAUGAAGUCCUCGUACCGGAUCUUGCCGUCGGAUCCAACCUCUACCUCCCGAAUCCACUCAUCAAACUCCGAGGGCUCCAAUUUCUCCCCAAUACUUGUCAAAAUAUGCCUGAGAUCCGAAACAACAACAUACCCAGUCCCAUCCUUGUCCAGCACCUUGAACGCAUCCCUUAGCUGGCGAUCAAACGGCUCAGGCUUCAAAUGCUUGGACAUCAGGUCCAAAAAUCUAUUAAAAUCGAAAGGAGAAUUCAAAUUUUCCUCGACGAUUAUGGAUUUGAGCUGCGCCUGAGUCGGGUUUCCUCCGAGUGAACGCAUCAGAAUUCCCAGCUCCGACGGGGCGAUCCUGCCGUCGCCGUCGGUAUC
Molecule: long non-coding RNA, 5027 nt
Filed under: Olea europaea (common olive)
Lineage: Eukaryota; Viridiplantae; Streptophyta; Magnoliopsida; Lamiales; Oleaceae
Description: long non-coding RNA (OEUR_LNC004846)
Source: RNAcentral